Molecule: long non-coding RNA, 476 nt
Filed under: Coturnix japonica (Japanese quail)
Lineage: Eukaryota; Metazoa; Chordata; Aves; Galliformes; Phasianidae
Description: lncRNA (ENSCJPG00005016452.1)
Source: RNAcentral
AUGGUCCAACUGAACCUGCAAAAACUGACAGAACUCCAAAUUGUACUGAACUUGUUCAAAGCAACUGGUACCCAGGAAGGUGGAGACUGCCCUACCUACAGGCCACUCUACCAGUUGGCCUCCAUCUGUUAUUCCAUGCACAUAACUCAAGUGAUUAUCACCUUCAAUUGAACUGAAGGAGACAGCGAGGCAGACUCACAUACAUUGUUUUCUAUCCUGUAUUCUGCGAGUUAGAAUGGUGAUGUGAUUCCAUUAAAAUAACACUAGGACAUGGGAUAAAGAUUUCUCAGACCCUGUUUGUUACUUUACUGGCGGAGAGACCUAUGCAAUUAAUCCCUCUCAACAAGGACUACCAAGUGCGUGGAUGCACACCGUCGGGGACUAUGUAGCACAGAAUCUCUACCCUGGAGAGGCAAACUAAUUCUAUUUGCUCUUUCUUUCCACGGAGGAUAAUAAAAGUUCUUCCUUGUCUUUCA